CAAUAGCGUAUAUUUAAGUUGCUGCAGUUAAAAAGCUCGUAGUUGGAUUUCGGGUGGGAAUGGCCGGUCCGCCGUUUCGGUGUGCACUUGCUACGCCCACCUUGCUGCCGGGGACGUGCUCUUGAGUUCACGCUCGGGACACGGAGUCGGCGAGGUUACUUUGAGUAAAUUAGAGUGUUCAAAGCAGGCCUACGCUCUGAAUACAUUAGCAUGGAAUAACACGAUAGGACUCUGGCCUAUCUUGUUGGUCUGUAGGACCGGAGUAAUGAUUAAGAGGGACAGUCGGGGGCAUUCGUAUUUCAUUGUCAGAGGUGAAAUUCUUGGAUUUAUGAAAGACGAACUACUGCGAAAGCAUUUGCCAAGGUUGUUUUCAUUAA
This 377-nucleotide ribosomal RNA is filed under the name uncultured eukaryote. Its description in RNAcentral is "partial 18S ribosomal RNA". It matches the Rfam family "Eukaryotic small subunit ribosomal RNA", at positions 592 to 976 of the family's 1831-position model. The record is from RNAcentral.